UCAUGCCAUUUGCACUGAGCUGCUCAAAACCGCACACUCUGCUUUUUGUUGUCUUUAUUUCAGUUCUGUUUUUCUCACUCUGGCCAAUUUCUUUCUUUCUGCCUUUCUCUCUUCAAACCUUUUCUUCUUGUCAUGUCUAGCAAGAGAACCCAAUAUACAAGAGCCCCAUUAAUAAAUUCCAGAAUCCAAGUUAUGGAAAUAAGGGCGUCACACACUGAGGUGAGAACCCCAUUUACAAGAGUGCGGUGACAACGGUGGUCAACCCUAAAUAUGAGGGCAAGUAAUGGACGAAUGUGUCCAGCAACACUGAAUGCAGAACAAUUCAAGAGGAAUGGAAGAGUUGAAGUUCACUUCAUUUUCUUUUUUUGUGUUUUUUUUUUUUUUAAAUCACCUUUUGGCUGUGCAUUUGCCACUGUUCUGUUUAAUCUAUUAACCUGUGUUUCUAUGCAUUGUUUUGGAACUGUACAGUAUGUAUAAACUUGAGUUUUUAUUUUUUUUAUGCAAUCUUAGACAAUAAUUUCAAUGUUCAGUUUUGAUUUUUAGCCACAGAUCUGCCUUGUUUUUCCUGAAUGUUAAAACUGAUCUUGUUGGGUUAGAUGACGGGUUUUGUAGGUAAAAUGUGGUCAAGUAUGCAUUAAGAAUGUUAUCCAAAAAAGACAAGGCUCAAUUACCAGACCCACCUGCUUGAGUCCAGUAACUGGUUGAUCAUUAGAGUCAGUUUGUAUCUUAUGAUGGUACAGGAAACUUUCUGAACCUGUGGAUGGAGUGUCCUGUCACUGGUAUAGUAGGUAGCUGUAGCGGACCACUGCUGUUUGUACACAUGGUGCUUUUCAUGUAGAUGCUUAUGUCGUCUGCAGAAUUUUGGAUGAUUUGAGACCAUAUUAUAAUGUUUAGGUCUGUGGAUCUGUGUGCUCGCCUCGCCUUUCUUUGGUCUGCGAGUCAGGUGGUUUAGUGACCUUCUAUUGUGCACAUUGAUGAUUUUAAUCUAUCAAUCUAAAAUGGACAGAUUUAGUAUCUUUUUAAUUGCGUCACAGAAAAAAUGUACAACAUCUAUCAAGUGUUUGAUUUAAAUGCCUUUGACUUGGCAACAUCGGAGUUGUUUGAAAGAUGUUAGAGGGACAUUUUCAUCAUUGUCUGUGAAUGGAACAAUUAUUAUUAUUAUAAUUGAAAACAUAAGUGUGAAGUCAUAUGAAAAGAUCUUCAGGUUUUAGAUUUGUUUGAAGAAUGAGGAAAUGAAAACUCAGGUCCUGAAUUUCUCUCCAUCACUGAUGCCAAAUAUUUACGUCUACUGUGCAUGAACUAUUUUCCAGAUGUGGACUUCACAUUUGUUUUUCUCUUUUAAUUGGUCCCGUUGUAACAUCUUUGUUCAUAAAUGAGACUAACUGCUCAGAUUAUUGUUGGUAAAGAUCAGUGUUAAAGAAAGAUUACUUCUUCUUUUUUUUUCUUUUUUUUUAAUCUCUAAAGCUUUUAAAAGCUUAAUCCUGUUACAUACACACUUUGCAUUUUAAAGUGCCUUUUUCAUUUUUGCAUCAUGCCCGCUAUCUUUUGUUUCUAGGAGUUAUUUAUUCAAAUAAACAACCCAAAACACUG
Molecule: long non-coding RNA, 1590 nt
Organism: Sinocyclocheilus grahami
Lineage: Eukaryota; Metazoa; Chordata; Actinopteri; Cypriniformes; Cyprinidae
Exons: 2
Source: RefSeq, a predicted model, not a curated record